CAAAAAGUAGUUUAAUAUAAAAUAUUAACAUUGGAAGUUAGUGAUUAAGAUUUAAUCUUAUUUUUUGA
Molecule: transfer RNA, 68 nt
Filed under: Acanthosepion lycidas
Lineage: Eukaryota; Metazoa; Mollusca; Cephalopoda; Sepiida; Sepiidae
Description: Sepia lycidas tRNA-Pro
Source: RNAcentral